UUUUUUUUUUUUUUUUUUUUUUUUUUUGCUGUGAUGUACAGUGUGGGGUCUCAGUUCCCAGACCAGGCGUGAACCCGGGCCAUAGCCACUAGACCACCAGGGAACUCCCUUAGGUACAUUCUUUCAUUCUUUUUGUUCUUUUUUUUUUCCUUAGAUACAUUCGUAAAUUUUUUUUUAUCAAGGUGAAUUUCACAUAACUCAAAACUAACCAUUUUAUUUACCUAUUUUUUAUUUUUUUGCCUUUUUUUUUUUUUAAGGGCCUAAUCAGCAGCAUAUGGAAGUUCCUGGACUAGGGGUCAAAUCAGAUCUGCAGCUGCCAGCCUAUACCACAGCCACAGCAGCAACAAAUAUGAGCCACAUCUUCGACCUGCACCACAACUCACAGCAACCAAUGCCAGAUCCUUAAUUCACUGAGCAAAGCCAGGAAUCAAACUUGCAUGGAUACUAGUUGGGUUCAUUUCUGCUGAGCCACAACGGGAACUCCCAAAUUAACCUUUUUUUUUUUUUUUAAGGGCUGCACUCUCGGCAUGUGGAGAGGUUUCCAUGCUAGGGGUCUAAUCGGAGCUACAGCUGUUGGCCUGUGCCACAGCAAUACCAGAGCUAAGCAGCGUCUGUGACCUACACCACAGCUCACAGCAACGCUGGAUCCUUAACCUACUGAUCGAGGCCAGGGAUCGAACCUGCAACCUCAUGGCUCCUAGUGGGAUUCGCUUCUGCUGCUUCAUCAUGGGAACUCCCAAAUUAACCAUUUUAAAGUGAAUAAUUCAGUGGCAUUUAGUACAUUCACAUUGUUGUGCACCCACCAUCCAGCUCCAAAAUGUAUUCAUCACCACAAGGAAAUCUCAUUUCUCUCACGCAGCUCCUUCCCGUUGCCCGCUCUCCCCAGUUCCUCGUCCUUUGCAGGUGACGGUGUUCACAGGGUGUUUUGAGGCGUGGGGUAAUGCAGUCGUCUAAUCCUGUGGUACAGGGUUGGAAUUGAAGAAACCAGCAAGAAGUUCAAGAAGCAGUGGUGCUUUGAGCCAAGCCUUAGAGAUAGGAGUUUUCCCUGUGUUUCUGAUUUUAGGGUGUUUAUUACCUUUUUUUUUUUUUGGGUCUUUUUAGGACCCCACAGCAAUGCCAGAUCUGAGCCUUGUCUUGGACCUACACCACAGCUCAUGGCAAUGCCGGGUCCUUAGCCCACUGAGCGAGGCCAGGGAUGGAACAUGCACCCUCAUGGUUCCUAGUCGGAGUCUUUAACCACUGCACCACGACAGGAACUCCAGUGUAGCCAUUAUUUAAAUUUAAGUUUAUUAAAAUCAAAUAAAUGGAGAGUUCAGUUCUGUCCCAUUAGCCACAUUUCAGGUGCUCAGUAGAUGUCUGUAGACACUGUGCUGGACUGCGCAGAAUCGAACAUCUCCAUUUUCCCAGAGGGCACUGCUGGGCAGCUGUGACCUCGAGGUUCUGAUGAAGUGAAAGCUUUGUUCUUUUUAACUUCUGUACUGCUUCUGGAUUCUGCUGCUUUAAUCAAGGUACCUGGUGAAAUGUAUAUUGGAACAGCUGAUAAAUAUUAAGAUGGAUUUGUGCUGAAUUCCUCUAGUGGAGGAUUUGUGAAAAUACUGCUGUUAGGGUAUUCAAAGUUAGGCUUCUUGAGAAAGCAGGUAGAAAUUGAAAGCAUAGAAGAGCUUUGUUUUUUGAGGUGGUUAUCUAGUACCUAGUUAACGAAAAGGAUGAUGAAGCUGUACAGCUAUGUUGAAGAUAAGUGUAGGACUUAAAAAAUCAACAGUAUGAAGGCUCAGCAUUGUUUCUAAAGAUUAGGUUUUUAUUUAUUAUUAUUUUUUAAUUUUUAAUUUUUUUAAAUUUUUUUUGUCUUUUUUUUUGCUAUUUCUUGGGCCGCUCCCGUGGCACGUGGAGGUUCCCAGGCUAGGGGUCGAAUCAGAGCUGUAGCCACAGGCCUACGCCAGAGCCACAGCAACGCGGGAUCCGAGCCGCGUCUGCAACCUACACCACAGCUCACGGCAACGCCAGAUCGUUAACCCACUGAGCAAGGGCAGGGAUCGAACCCGCAACCUCAUGGUUCCUAGUCGGAUUCGUUAACCACUGCGCCAUGACGGGAACUCCCAAGAUUAGGUUUUUAAAAACAGCCUUAUGAGGUAUAAUUGACUUAAAAUAAGCUCUGCAUAUUUAAUGUGUACAAUUAUACGUCAGUGAGGCUGCUCGAAGCCCUGCUGCUUCCUGCUGCUGCUGUUCAGUCUUUUCUCUUUUGUUUUGGAUGCUUUCUAUUGCUUUACCUUUAAGUUUGCUAAUAUUUUCUUUUGCAAUGUCCAGUCUGCUCUUAAUACAUUGUAUGUAGUAUAUUUUUCAUCUCAGACAUUAUAGGUUUCAUAUCUAGAAGUUUGAUUUGGAUCUUUUUUUAAAAUGUAUUUUAUGUCCCUGCUUAACAUAGUCUUUCCUUUGAAUUCUCACAUUGAAAUACAGUUACAGUUGUCUUAAUACCUUUGUCCACUAAUUAUGUCAUCUCUCUCAUUUAUUUCUUUUUUCUUUUUUUUUUUUUUAGGGCCACACCCACGACACAUGGAGGUUCCCAGGCUAGGGGUCUAAUCAGAGCUGUAGCUGCCGGUCUGCACCACAGCCACAGCAACGCCAGAUCUGAGCCACAUCUGCGACCUACACCAUAGUUCACAGCAAUGCCAGAUCCUUAACCCACUGAGCGAGACCGGGGAUCCAACCCACAACCUCAUGGCUCCUAGUUGGGUUCGCUAACUGCUGAGCCAUGACGGGAACUCUGAUUCCUAUAAAUAUUUUCUUGAGUUUUGUUCUGGAACAUGAUGCAGUUCCUUACAAAUGGUUUGUUCAUUUCAAAUCUUGUUAGGUGGGAUCAGAGCAGCAUUUAGUUUAGGGCUAAUUAUUUCCAACUACUGAGCCAAAACUCUUCUGAGUACUCUAAUAGUUUGUUAAUUCUGAGGUUUUCCACUCUGUUGGGAAUCAGUCCUCUUCUUGGCCCUGUGUGAGCCUCAUGAAUUAUCCUUGUUAUUCUUUUUUUGUUGUUGUUGUUGUCUUUUUGCCAUUUUCUUGGGCCGUUUUCGUGGCAUAUGGAAGUUCCCAGGCUAGGGGUCGAAUUGGAGCUAUAGCCGCUGGCCUAUGCCAGAGCCACAGCAACGUGGGAUCCAAGCCACGUCUGUGACCAACACCACAGCUCACGGCAACGCCGGAUCCUUCACCCACUGAGCAAGGCCAGGGAUCGAACCCGCCACCUCAUGGUUCCUAGUCAGAUUCGUUUCCACUGCACCACAACGGGAACUCCAGUCCUUGUUAUUCUUUUGGGUAGUUCUCCCUCCCGCUUUGCUGUUGUUUUUUGUUUUUGUUUUUUGCUUUUUAGGGCCAAACCCACGGCAUAUGGAAGUUCCCAGGCUUGGGGUCCAAUUGGAGCUCUUGCUUCCACCUUACACCACAGCCACAGCAACACCAACGUGGGAUCUGAGCCUCGUCUUCCACCUACAGCAUAGCUCACUGCAAUGCCAGAUCCUUAACCCACUGAGGGAGGCCAGGGAUCGAACCUACGUCCUCAUGGAUACUAGUCAGAUUGCCCCCCACCCCCGUUGGAUGCCCCUCAUCACAUGGAGCUCCCAGGCCAAGGAUCAGAUCCGAGCCGAAGACCUAAGCACUAGCUGCGGCAAUGCCAGAUCCCCAACCCACUGUGCCGGGCUGGGGAUCAAACCAGUAUCCUGGUGCUCCCAAGACGCUGCUGGUCCUGUUGCACCACAGUGGGAACUCCUGGGUGGUUCUUCAUAUGGAAACCUCAAGUAUUUUCUUCACAGGCGUCUGCUGGCCAGUACUGUCCUGAGUACGCAAGGAGGAGAGCUCUGGACUCCUCUUUCUGUGCAGCUCUCUCUUUUGUGGAUAACCUGCCCUGCAGACUCGAGCUGCCUUGUCCGCCUUGGCCUCAACUUGUCUCUAAGUGUGGGGAGACUGCCUAACUUCCCCUGGAUUCCUUCUCCCUGUGCUGCCAGUUGGAAACCCUCCAAGCAGUAAACUGGGGUGGUUGUAGGAUUUGCUUCAUUCUUUCCUUGUUUCUCAGGGAUCACUCUACUUCGUAACUUUGUGUCUUAAAAACUAUUGCUUUGUAUAUUCCAGUUUUCAGUUGUUCACCAUGGUGGAGUAAAUCUGGUUCAUGUCAUCCCACCUGCCUGGAAGCAGAAGUGUAAACUUUUUUUAAAAAAGGGAAGUAGGUAAUUCUCAUUGUGGCUCAGCGGAAACGAUCCUGCCUAGUAUCCAUGAGGACACAGGUGCGAUCCCUGGCCCUGCUCAGUGGGUUAAGGAUAUGGUGUUGCCAUGAGCUGUGGUGUAGGUCUGGCAUUGCUAUGGCUGUGGUGUAGGCUGGGAGCUCCAGCUCCAAUUUGACCCCCAAGCCUGGAAACUUCCAUAUGCCACAGGUGUGGCCCCAAAAAGACAAAAAAAAAAAAAAAAAAA
Molecule: long non-coding RNA, 4446 nt
Filed under: Sus scrofa (pig)
Lineage: Eukaryota; Metazoa; Chordata; Mammalia; Artiodactyla; Suidae
Description: lncRNA (ENSSSCG00035058507.1)
Source: RNAcentral